This 494-nucleotide ribosomal RNA is filed under the name uncultured bacterium. RNAcentral describes it as "partial 16S ribosomal RNA". It matches the Rfam family "Bacterial small subunit ribosomal RNA", at positions 28 to 507 of the family's 1533-position model. The record is from RNAcentral.
GACGAACGCUGGCGGCGUGCUUAACACAUGCAAGUCGAACGGUGAAGCGCCUUCCUUUUUGGUGGGUUUGGAUGAGUGGCCAACGGGUUAGUAACACGUUAGUAACCUUCUCCCUUCUUCUUGAUAACCGCAUAAAGUUGUUGCUAAUACGUGAUAUUCUGGGUCUGUUGCUUCAUAGGUGUGGGACAGUUUUUCUUUCAGUUGUAGAUGGGCUCGCGGACUAUCAGCUUGUUGGUGGGGUGACGGCCUACCAAGGCGGUGAAGGGUAGCCGGCCUGAGAGGGUGGACCACCACGCAGGGGAGGCACGGUGGCGCAGACUACGGGGGGAGGCAGCAGGGGGGAAUAUUGAACAAUGGGAGGACGGCUGAUGCAGCGACGCGGCGUGAGUGAUGGAGGCCGUCGGGUUGUGAACUGCUUUCGGGAGUGAAGCAGGCCUGCAUCGUCUGUGGGUGGGUUGACGGUAGCUGGAUAAGAAGCGACGGCUAACUACGUG